GAGCUGUGGCUCAGCGGGCUGGUUUGCUCACUGGAGAACUCCCGUUCCCCUUAAUGCGAGGGCAUUAAAUCGUGUUGCCAUGGGAAGGGCUGUUUGUUACCUAUUGCACCAGGAUCUGCAGCUGGGGAGGAUGGAGAAACAGUAUCGGUUAAAUCAACAUUCUGCUUGACAAGCACUUGGAUCUGGACUCAUACUCCCUCUGCUAGUCACUGAGCAAAGAUGACAAGAUGAGGAGUACACUUGCCGUGAGAACCUUGUGCAAUGGAGAAAGAGUAUUUCCCAGGGUCUUGCCUUGUGGAUGCAGCACGUGUGCUCAGCGUUGCACAGACGGCAUCUGCUGGGUAACUGCAGAACAUCAUGGGACUGCUCUCAAGUCUUGAUUCAUGUAAAUAACUCUUCCAGGGCAACCAAUAAAUAAUCUUGAUAUUUUA
Falco peregrinus (peregrine falcon) is the source of this 431-nucleotide long non-coding RNA. RefSeq lists it as uncharacterized. Lineage: Eukaryota; Metazoa; Chordata; Aves; Falconiformes; Falconidae. The transcript has 3 exons. The record is from RefSeq and is a predicted model, not a curated record.